AUGAAGCGGGUAACGACAGUGCUAACUAUCGAGAAUCACGGGAAGGACCACGAAGACGCGCUCAAGGAUGUUGAAUUCAGAGAGCAGCCCGCUCGUGUGGAUCUCAGCCGGCUAGCGGAAAUCGCAGAUACCGAGAAAGCUGCUUCUCAAAUGCAAUACUUCGUGAAGCAUUGGGAAUAUAGGAGGGCCAACAAUGCCCGGCUCCUGAAUGAAGAGCUCGGUCGUCUCUCCCAACAGCGAGAAGAGAUUGAGCAAAAGAAGCAGCAGAUCAUGGAGGAGGACCAACGUCACAAUGCCCUCAAGUGUUCGAGACAAGAGAUUAAUGACCCUUCUCAUGACGAGGAUCUUGAAGAAGAUGCAGAGCAUGACAGUACCCCCUACUGGAAACGGCGAGCGCUGCAGUCGGAGAAAGCGCAUGGGGUAAGCUUGCAAAGGGAGCGUUCGUUGGAGGAGAAGCUGGGGGAAUAUCUCAAGAAAUUUCAGCUAGAAACACUGGCGGGGGAAUUAUCUGCCAUGUUAAAACGGGGCGAUUAUUUCUUGCACCUGAUUCUCCAAAGUGCCCCCAUUUUGAUUGCUCAUCAGGAUGUCGAGUUACGGUACUGCUACAUUUUUAAUCACUUUCCGACACUUGCGGAUGAGCUGAAUGCCUUUGCCAUUGAUUUUUCCGCUCCAUAUAGUGCACUGCUCUUUAAUCCUGAAAUUAAGUUGUAUUUUUGUCUGGUUCACAAUUUGUUUUCAGGAUGUUAUUGGUAAAAUAGACCAUGAGAUAUUGUCAGGAGAGGGUAUAGAUGAGAUGAAUAAGGUCAAGAGAGAGGUUAUGGCCAAGGGUAUACCGAUUAAGAGAGAGUUUUUAUUUAACACUCCAUUAUUCGGACCAAAGACCUUUGUGGUAUACAUCAAACCAGUUUUGAGUAAAAUAGGGGAAACAAUCGGUGUGAAUUAUGUUGCACUGGACAUAACGGACCAGGUCAAAACAAGAGAGAAAAUGACAGACAUAAGGGUGAGGGAAGCUGUUCAAAAAGCCAAGGAAAUAGAGCAUAGCAGAUCACCUAAUAUUACAGAGGACACACCGCAAGCAAAACAAAUGUUAGCCACAAUGUCACAUGAGAUCGGAUCUCCCCUUUCAGAAGUCCUUAGGAUAGCCGAGCUUCUUGCAACUACCAAACUGGAUCAAGAACAACAUCAGUUGCUAGAGCUUAUGUUAUCCUCUGGAAAUGUUGUGUUUCAAUCGAUCGAUGGCAUCCUUGGUCUCUCCAAAGUGGAAUCAGGAGUUAUCAAACUACAAUCUGCGAUAUUUAGGCCAAGGGAAGUAGUUGAACAUGUACUCCAAACUGCUUCUUUAUUUAUGAAGAAGGAGCUGACUCUUGAAGGGCGCAUAGGUGAUGAUGUUCCAUCAGAGGUCAUCGGUGAUGCGCUAAAGAUUCAGGAAAUUCUGACAAACUUGAUCAAUUUCAGCAAUGCGGUGAAGUUUACACAAGACGGGAAGGUUGGGAUAAACCUUAAUGUUGUAGAUAAGCAGCAACUGGAAUGCCAAAUAGAACAUAUAAGACCUCAUUCUGCAAGCCCAAUUAACACUGAGACAGAAUAUUAUCCUGCCUCGUCAAAAAUUUCUGAUAAAGAUACCUUGCGUUGCUCAAACCAUGAAGAAGCUCAUCAGAAUGGCAUUCCAUCAAAUGAAAAUUCUACGGGGGAAGCUGUUUGGCUUUGCUUCGAUGUUUAUGACACUGGAAUAGGAAUACCAGAGAAGUCAUUGCCGUUUCUGUUCAAGAGGUAUAUGCAUGCCAAUGAGAAACAUACAACAAAAUAUGGUGGGACGGGGCUUGGCCUUGCUGUCUGCAAGCAGUUGGUGGACUUGAUGGGUGGUACUCUCACAGUGCUUAGCAAAGAGAAUGAAGGGUCAACAUUUACAGUCAUGUUUCCCUGCAUAAUUCCUGCAAGACAAGCACAAUGAUGCUCCUCACAAUGGGAAAAACUCGUGUACCAGAACUUUCAGUGAGUACUACAUCGGUCUAACUACUGAAAUACCAGCUCCUGGAGAAGGGCAAAGAUGGUCCAGGGCUGAAGCAUGGGUAGUAUAGGCCAAAGAAUGUGGUUUACAGUUUCCUUACUGUUCUGUUAGAUCUGAUAAGGUGUUGAGUUGUAGCUUCAUACCAGCGAUUAGUAUAUGUAUGUAAUCAAGAAUUAGAAAAUACAUACAAAUAAAUUGCAAUUCCAAAACGUUGAGAACUAAAAAAGGAGAAGAAUGCCCAAACCUACAGACUUGUAAUUAACACUUUGCACUACAUGUUGCUAAUGGGUCAUUCUGUCAUGUAAUGUGUAUAUACAAAAAUGCAAAAAGAUUUAAGGCUUACACGAAA
Molecule: RNA transcript, 2357 nt
Organism: Hordeum vulgare subsp. vulgare (domesticated barley)
Lineage: Eukaryota; Viridiplantae; Streptophyta; Magnoliopsida; Poales; Poaceae
Gene name: probable histidine kinase 1
Exons: 10
Source: RefSeq, a predicted model, not a curated record